This 253-nucleotide ribosomal RNA is filed under the name uncultured bacterium. RNAcentral describes it as "partial 16S ribosomal RNA". It matches the Rfam family "Bacterial small subunit ribosomal RNA", at positions 524 to 776 of the family's 1533-position model. The record is from RNAcentral.
UACAGAGGUCCCAAGCGUUGUUCGGAUUCACUGGGCGUAAAGGGUGCGUAGGUGGUGGGGUAAGUCUGAUGUGAAAUCUCCGAGCUCAACUCGGAAAUGGCAUUGGAAACUACUCUGCUCGAGGGUUGGAGGGGGGACUGGAAUACUUGGUGUAGCAGUGAAAUGCGUAGAUAUCAAGUGGAACACCAGUGGCGAAGGCGAGUCCCUGGACAACUCCUGACACUGAGGCACGAAAGCUAGGGGAGCAAACAGG